GGAGAUAGCUGGUUCUCUCCGAAAUAGCUUUAGGGCUAGCGUCGAGUAUGAGUAGUGGAGGUAGAGCACUGAAUGGGCUAGGGGGCAUAGCGCUUACCGAACCUUAUCAAACUCCGAAUGCCACAUACUUUGAGCUCGGCAGUCAGACUACGAAUGAUAAGAUCCGUGGUCAAAAGGGAAACAGCCCAGAUCGUCAGCUAAGGUCCCAAAGUGUAAGUUAAGUGGGAAAGGAUGUGAGAUUUCUACGACAACUAGGAUGUUGGCUUAGAAGCAGCCAUUCAUUAAAAGAGUGCGUAAUAGCUCACUAGUCGAGAGAUCUUGCGCCGAAAAUGUAACGGGGCUAAACUUACCACCGAAGCUACGGGCUUGAACAUAGUUCAAGCGGUAGGAGAGCGUCGUAACCGGGCUGAAGUCGUACCGUAAGGAGCGGUGGACUGGUUACGAGUGAGAAUGUUGGCAUCAGUAGCGAGAUGUGGGUGAGAAUCCCACAGGCCGAAAACCUAAGGUUUCCUCAGGAAGGUUCGUCCGCUGAGGGUUAGUCGGGACCUAAGCCGAGGCCGAAAGGCGUAGGUGAUGGACAACUGGUUGAUAUUCCAGUACCACUACCAUCGUUAUUAUCGAUGGCGUGACGCAGGAGGAUAGUGUGUGCUAGCUAUUGGAUGCU
This 664-nucleotide ribosomal RNA is filed under the name Clostridium perfringens. RNAcentral describes it as "bacterial LSU rRNA". It matches the Rfam family "Bacterial large subunit ribosomal RNA", at positions 841 to 1508 of the family's 2925-position model. Lineage: Bacteria; Bacillati; Bacillota; Clostridia; Eubacteriales; Clostridiaceae. The record is from RNAcentral.